CUAUUCUGUUGGAUGGUAAUUGGUACCAAUAAUUAUAGAUUAAAUGUUAUCUAUUUGAAAACAACAAUGAACUAAUGGUGUAUUCUAACUGAUAAAGCAUAUUAUAUGAUGAUAAGGAAACUAAAUACUAGAUCAAAUGCUCUGUGGCGCUAGAAAACGUUUUGCUUCUAGGCGUUUUCACUGCAGUUAACCAUGGCAGAGAAAACAGUUGUGAUACUAACCAAACUGGGUCAGUUAAGAGGACUGGUUGGACAAUCUGUCUUGUCUGACAAAAGUUAUUAUGGAUUCUUAGGAAUUCCUUAUGGAAUACCACCUGUGGGAGCACUUAGAUUUAAGGAUCCUCAGCCAUUUGGCAGCUGGGAGGGAGUGAGAGAUGCAACCGAAGAUGCGCCCUCUCCUAUACAACCAGUAUUUGCUCAUCCACCGGGAACACUAAAUAUUGAUGGUGAAGAGGACUGUCUGUAUCUUAAUGUGUUUAUAAAUCAGUUCCCAGAUAAAUCCAACAGUCUGAAGCCUGUGGUUGUGGUUUUUAAUCAGGGAGCCUUUCUUAUGGGAUCUGGGAAUUCAAAAAUAAAAGGUCCCGACUAUUUUCUGGAGUCAGACAUUGUGGUUGUCACCUUUAACUUUCGAUUAGGAGCUCUUGGGUUUCUGUCUCUGGAGAACGAGGAAGUCCCAGGCAAUGCAGGGCUCAAGGAUCAGACCCUGGCAUUGAAGUGGGUCCAUGACAACAUUGACAGUUUUGGUGGUGACCCAAACAAUGUCACCAUAUUUGGUAUCAGUGCUGGGGGAACCUCUGUUCAUUUCCAUUUGCUAUCUCCAACGUCCAGAGGGCUAUUUCAUAAGGCAGUUACACGGAGUGGUACAGCCCUGAAUCCAUGGUCAAUUCAGGAAAACCCUCAGGCCAAUGCCAUAAAACUGGCCAAAACUCUGGGUUGUACGUCUGAGGACCCUGGUGAAGUGCUUCGAUUCCUGCAAGCUGUAACUGCUAAUGACAUUGUGAAUGCCACCAACAAGAUGUCCACAGACAAGGAAGUAACAGCAAAAAAGGCCACCUUGAUAUUUCUACCAUGUGUGGAAGUCUCUAGCAAAGAGCCAUUUCUGGAAGAAACUCCUGAAAGUCUCAUGGAGAGUGGACAGUUUGCUCAGGUUCCUAUCAUCAUAGGAGGCUGUGUUCAAGAAGGAGUUGUGCUUGCGUUUUUUGGUGCGAUAAGUGACAGUGCAUUAAAAAAUGUAAACGAGAAUCCUGCUUGGCUUGUACCAUCUUUUCUGGAAUUGAAAUCUGGAAGCAAAGAAGAGAAAGAGGCACAAGAGGAAAUUUGGGAUUUCUACUUCAAAGGAAACCCUAUUUCCUGGAGCAAUGUUCAAGAAUACAUCAAAAGACUUGUCAUGGAGCAGACUGUUUGAUAUUCUACAAAAACACCAACUUGCCUCUGCCAUUGACUCCGGAUCAGGAAGAAGUUAUUAAAAAAAGUGUUCAGUCUUUGGCAGCUUUUGCUUCAACUGGUGAUCCAAAUUGCGGAGAUCUUGGUGUGACAUGGAACAGAGAUUCCCAGAGCGAUCCGUGUUAUAUGGACGUAGGAACUACUUGGGUACUUAAGGACGGGACACCUUUCACUGACAGAAUGGACUUCUGGAAAGGAC
Molecule: unclassified non-coding RNA, 1641 nt
Filed under: Homalodisca vitripennis (glassy-winged sharpshooter)
Lineage: Eukaryota; Metazoa; Arthropoda; Insecta; Hemiptera; Cicadellidae
Description: juvenile hormone esterase-like, transcript variant X2
Source: RNAcentral